This 426-nucleotide ribosomal RNA is filed under the name uncultured bacterium. RNAcentral's name for it is "bacterial SSU rRNA". It matches the Rfam family "Bacterial small subunit ribosomal RNA", at positions 917 to 1344 of the family's 1533-position model. The record is from RNAcentral.
GGGCCCGCACAAGCGGUGGAGUAUGUGGUUUAAUUCGAUGCAACGCGAAGAACCUUACCAGGGUUUGACAUCCUGCGAAUCUCUUGGAAACGAGAGAGUGCCUUCGGGAGCGCAGUGACAGGUGGUGCAUGGCUGUCGUCAGCUCGUGUCGUGAGAUGUUGGGUUAAGUCCCGCAACGAGCGCAACCCACGUCUUUAGUUGCCACCAUUUAGUUGGGCACUUUAAAAGAACUGCCAGUGAUAAGCUGGAGGAAGGUGGGGAUGACGUCAAGUCCUCAUGGCCCUUAUGUGUUGGGCUACACACGUACUACAAUGCUACGGACAAAGGGCAGCAAGUUCGCGAGGACAAGCAAAUCCCAUAAACCGUGGCUCAGUUCAGAUCGUAGGCUGCAACUCGCCUACGUGAAGGCGGAAUCGCUAGUAAUCG